CAGCACCUCAAGUGGUCAGGAUGAUUAUUGGGCCUAAAGCAUCCGUAGCCGGCGCUGUAAGUUUUCGGUUAAAUCUGUACGCUCAACGUACAGGCUGCCGGGAAUACUGCAGCGCUAGGGAGUGGGAGAGCUAGACGGUACUCGGUAGGAAGGGGUAAAAUCCUUUGAUCUAUUGAUGACCACCUGUGGCGAAGGCGGUCUACCAGAACACGUCCGACGGUGAGGGAUGAAAGCUGGGGGAGCAAACCGGAUUAGAGACCCGAGUAGUCC
RNAcentral lists this ribosomal RNA (270 nucleotides) under uncultured archaeon. RNAcentral describes it as "partial 16S ribosomal RNA". It matches the Rfam family "Archaeal small subunit ribosomal RNA", at positions 477 to 747 of the family's 1478-position model. The record is from RNAcentral.